UUCCUACGGGGGGCAGCAGUGGGGAAUAUUGCACAAUGGGGGAAACCCUGAUGCAGCGACGCCGCGUGAGCGAAGAAGUAUUUCGGUAUGUAAAGCUCUAUCAGCAGGGAAGAAAAAUGACGGUACCUGAGUAAGAAGCACCGGCUAAAUACGUGCCAGCAGCCGCGGUAAUACGUAUGGUGCAAGCGUUAUCCGGAUUUACUGGGUGUAGAGGGAGCGUAGGUGGCAGGGCAAGUCAGAUGUGAAAACCCGGGGCUCAACUCCGGGAGUGCAUUUGAAACUGUCCAGCUAGAGUGCAGGAGGGG
RNAcentral lists this ribosomal RNA (305 nucleotides) under uncultured bacterium. RNAcentral's name for it is "bacterial SSU rRNA". It matches the Rfam family "Bacterial small subunit ribosomal RNA", at positions 336 to 657 of the family's 1533-position model. The record is from RNAcentral.